AAACUGUAGAGUUUGAUCCUGGCUCAGAUUGAACGCUAGCGGCAUGCCUUACACAUGCAAGUCGAACGGCAGCACGGGGGCAACCCUGGUGGCGAGUGGCGAACGGGUGAGUAAUGCAUCGGAACGUGCCCAUUGAU
Molecule: ribosomal RNA, 137 nt
Filed under: Betaproteobacteria bacterium
Lineage: Bacteria; Pseudomonadati; Pseudomonadota; Betaproteobacteria
Description: partial 16S ribosomal RNA
Rfam family: Bacterial small subunit ribosomal RNA
Source: RNAcentral